This 840-nucleotide ribosomal RNA is filed under the name Xanthoparmelia mexicana. RNAcentral describes it as "eukaryotic LSU rRNA". It matches the Rfam family "Eukaryotic large subunit ribosomal RNA", at positions 81 to 936 of the family's 3401-position model. Lineage: Eukaryota; Fungi; Ascomycota; Lecanoromycetes; Lecanorales; Parmeliaceae. The record is from RNAcentral.
CAGUAACGGCGAGUGAAGUGGCAACAGCUCAAAUUUGAAAUCUGGCUCCUUCGGGGUCCGAAUUGUAAUUUGUAGAGAGUGCUUCGGGCGAGACCUCGGUCUAAGUCCAUUGGAACAUGGUGUCAUAGAGGGUGAGAAUCCCGUAUGCGACCGUGGCUCGAGCCCAUGUGAAGCCUCUUCGACGAGUCGAGUUGUUUGGGAAUGCAGCUCAAAACGGGUGGUAAAUUUCAUCUAAAGCUAAAUACUGGCUGGAGACCGAUAGCGCACAAGUAGAGUGAUCGAAAGAUGAAAAGCACUUUGGAAAGAGAGUCAAACAGUACGUGAAAUUGUUGAAAGGGAAGCGCUUGCAACCAGACCUGCCCGUAGGCGAUCAGCCGCUGUUCUCAGCGGUGCACUCGCUCUGCGAUCAGGCCAGCAUCGGUUUCGGCGGUCGGAUAAAGGCCUUGGGAAUGUAGCUUCCCUUCGGGGGAGUCUUAUAGCCCUCGGUGUAAUGCGGCCAGCCGGGACCGAGGACCGCGCUUCGGCUAGGAUGCUGGCGUAAUGGUUGUAAGCGACCCGUCUUGAAACACGGACCAAGGAGUCUAACAUCUAUGCGAGUGUUUGGGUGUCAAACCCAUACGCGGAAUGAAAGUGAACGGAGGUGAGAACCCUUAAGGGCGCAUCAUCGACCGAUCCAGAUGUCUUCGGAUGGAUUUGAGUAUGAGCAUAGCUGUUGGGACCCGAAAGAUGGUGAACUAUGCCUGAAUAGGGUGAAGCCAGAGGAAACUCUGGUGGAGGCUCGCAGCGGUUCUGACGUGCAAAUCGAUCGUCAAAUUUGGGUAUAGGGGCGAAAGACUAAUC